Molecule: transfer RNA, 58 nt
Filed under: Physcomitrium lorentzii
Lineage: Eukaryota; Viridiplantae; Streptophyta; Bryopsida; Funariales; Funariaceae
Description: partial tRNA-Phe
Rfam family: tRNA
About the family: Transfer RNA (tRNA) molecules are approximately 80 nucleotides in length. Their secondary structure includes four short double-helical elements and three loops (D, anti-codon, and T loops).
Source: RNAcentral
AACAAGCCGGGAUAGCUCAGUUGGUAGAGCAGAGGACUGAAAAUCCUCGUGUCACCAG